UACCAGCUCUCCGAGUGGUAGGGAUGAUUAUUGGGCUUAAAGCGUCCGUAGCCGGCUUAGCAAGUUUCCUGUUAAAUUCAGCGACCUAAUCGUUGAGCCGCGGGAAAUACUACUAGGCUAGGAGGCGGGAGAGGUCGACGGUACUUCUGGGGUAGGGGUGAAAUCCUAUAAUCCCGGGAGGACCACCAGUGGCGAAGGCUGUCGACUAGAACGCGCUCGACGGUGAGGGACGAAAGCUGGGGGAGCGAACCGGAUUAGAUACCCGGGUAGUCCCAGCUGUAAACGAUGCGAGCUAGGUGUUGGGUUGGCUACGUGCCACCCCAGUGCCGAAUGGAAGCAAAUAAGCUCGCCGUUUGGGGAGUACGGCCGCAAGGCUGAAACUUAAGGAAUUGGCGGGGAGCACCACAAGGGGUGUUGGCUGCGGUUC
Molecule: ribosomal RNA, 427 nt
Filed under: uncultured archaeon
Lineage: Archaea
Description: bacterial SSU rRNA
Rfam family: Archaeal small subunit ribosomal RNA
Source: RNAcentral